RNAcentral lists this ribosomal RNA (2900 nucleotides) under Klebsiella pneumoniae. Its description in RNAcentral is "bacterial LSU rRNA". It matches the Rfam family "Bacterial large subunit ribosomal RNA". Lineage: Bacteria; Pseudomonadati; Pseudomonadota; Gammaproteobacteria; Enterobacterales; Enterobacteriaceae. The record is from RNAcentral.
UUAAGCGACUAAGCGUACACGGUGGAUGCCCUGGCAGUCAGAGGCGAUGAAGGACGUGCUAAUCUGCGAAAAGCGUCGGUAAGGUGAUAUGAACCGUUAUAACCGGCGAUGUCCGAAUGGGGAAACCCAGUGCAAUUCGUUGCACUAUCGUUAACUGAAUACAUAGGUUAACGAGGCGAACCGGGGGAACUGAAACAUCUAAGUACCCCGAGGAAAAGAAAUCAACCGAGAUUCCCCCAGUAGCGGCGAGCGAACGGGGAGCAGCCCAGAGUCUGAAUCAGCUUGUGUGUUAGUGGAACGGUCUGGAAAGUCCGACGGUACAGGGUGAUAGUCCCGUACACCAAAAUGCACAGGCUGUGAACUCGAAGAGUAGGGCGGGACACGUGGUAUCCUGUCUGAAUAUGGGGGGACCAUCCUCCAAGGCUAAAUACUCCUGACUGACCGAUAGUGAACCAGUACCGUGAGGGAAAGGCGAAAAGAACCCCGGCGAGGGGAGUGAAAAAGAACCUGAAACCGUGUACGUACAAGCAGUGGGAGCACCUUCGGGUGUGACUGCGUACCUUUUGUAUAAUGGGUCAGCGACUUAUAUUCUGUAGCAAGGUUAACCGUAUAGGGGAGCCGCAGGGAAACCGAGUCUUAACUGGGCGUUAAGUUGCAGGGUAUAGACCCGAAACCCGGUGAUCUAGCCAUGGGCAGGUUGAAGGUUGGGUAACACUAACUGGAGGACCGAACCGACUAAUGUUGAAAAAUUAGCGGAUGACUUGUGGCUGGGGGUGAAAGGCCAAUCAAACCGGGAGAUAGCUGGUUCUCCCCGAAAGCUAUUUAGGUAGCGCCUCGUGAAUUCAUCUUCGGGGGUAGAGCACUGUUUCGGCUAGGGGGUCAUCCCGACUUACCAACCCGAUGCAAACUACGAAUACCGAAGAAUGUUAUCACGGGAGACACACGGCGGGUGCUAACGUCCGUCGUGAAGAGGGAAACAACCCAGACCGCCAGCUAAGGUCCCAAAGUCAUGGUUAAGUGGGAAACGAUGUGGGAAGGCACAGACAGCCAGGAUGUUGGCUUAGAAGCAGCCAUCAUUUAAAGAAAGCGUAAUAGCUCACUGGUCGAGUCGGCCUGCGCGGAAGAUGUAACGGGGCUAAACCAUGCACCGAAGCUGCGGCAGCGACACUAUGUGUUGUUGGGUAGGGGAGCGUUCUGUAAGCCUGCGAAGGUGACCUGUGAGGGUUGCUGGAGGUAUCAGAAGUGCGAAUGCUGACAUAAGUAACGAUAAAGCGGGUGAAAAGCCCGCUCGCCGGAAGACCAAGGGUUCCUGUCCAACGUUAAUCGGGGCAGGGUGAGUCGACCCCUAAGGCGAGGCCGAAAGGCGUAGUCGAUGGGAAACAGGUUAAUAUUCCUGUACUUGGUGUUACUGCGAAGGGGGGACGGAGAAGGCUAUGUUAGCCGGGCGACGGUUGUCCCGGUUUAAGCAUGUAGGCUGGUUGUCCAGGCAAAUCCGGAUAAUCAAGGCUGAGGUGUGAUGACGAGGCACUACGGUGCUGAAGUAACAAAUGCCCUGCUUCCAGGAAAAGCCUCUAAGCAUCAGGUAACAUUAAAUCGUACCCCAAACCGACACAGGUGGUCAGGUAGAGAAUACCAAGGCGCUUGAGAGAACUCGGGUGAAGGAACUAGGCAAAAUGGUGCCGUAACUUCGGGAGAAGGCACGCUGGUGUGUAGGUGAAGCCCCUGCGGGUGGAGCUGAGACCAGUCGAAGAUACCAGCUGGCUGCAACUGUUUAUUAAAAACACAGCACUGUGCAAACACGAAAGUGGACGUAUACGGUGUGACGCCUGCCCGGUGCCGGAAGGUUAAUUGAUGGGGUUAUCCGUAAGGAGAAGCUCUUGAUCGAAGCCCCGGUAAACGGCGGCCGUAACUAUAACGGUCCUAAGGUAGCGAAAUUCCUUGUCGGGUAAGUUCCGACCUGCACGAAUGGCGUAAUGAUGGCCAGGCUGUCUCCACCCGAGACUCAGUGAAAUUGAACUCGCUGUGAAGAUGCAGUGUACCCGCGGCAAGACGGAAAGACCCCGUGAACCUUUACUAUAGCUUGACACUGAACAUUGAGCCUUGAUGUGUAGGAUAGGUGGGAGGCUUUGAAGCGUGGACGCCAGUCUGCGUGGAGCCAACCUUGAAAUACCACCCUUUAAUGUUUGAUGUUCUAACGUUGGCCCCUGACCGGGGUUGCGGACAGUGUCUGGUGGGUAGUUUGACUGGGGCGGUCUCCUCCCAAAGCGUAACGGAGGAGCACGAAGGUUAGCUAAUCCUGGUCGGACAUCAGGAGGUUAGUGCAAUGGCAUAAGCUAGCUUGACUGCGAGCGUGACGGCGCGAGCAGGUGCGAAAGCAGGUCAUAGUGAUCCGGUGGUUCUGAAUGGAAGGGCCAUCGCUCAACGGAUAAAAGGUACUCCGGGGAUAACAGGCUGAUACCGCCCAAGAGUUCAUAUCGACGGCGGUGUUUGGCACCUCGAUGUCGGCUCAUCACAUCCUGGGGCUGAAGUAGGUCCCAAGGGUAUGGCUGUUCGCCAUUUAAAGUGGUACGCGAGCUGGGUUUAGAACGUCGUGAGACAGUUCGGUCCCUAUCUGCCGUGGGCGCUGGAGAAUUGAGGGGGGCUGCUCCUAGUACGAGAGGACCGGAGUGGACGCAUCACUGGUGUUCGGGUUGUCAUGCCAAUGGCACUGCCCGGUAGCUAAAUGCGGAAGAGAUAAGUGCUGAAAGCAUCUAAGCACGAAACUUGCCCCGAGAUGAGUUCUCCCUGAGACUUUAAGUCUCCUGAAGGAACGUUAAAGACGAUGACGUUGAUAGGCCGGGUGUGUAAGCGCAGCGAUGCGUUGAGCUAACCGGUACUAAUGAACCGUGAGGCUUAACCUU